This 443-nucleotide ribosomal RNA is filed under the name uncultured bacterium. Its description in RNAcentral is "bacterial SSU rRNA". It matches the Rfam family "Bacterial small subunit ribosomal RNA", at positions 338 to 795 of the family's 1533-position model. The record is from RNAcentral.
CCUACGGGGGGCUGCAGUGGGGAAUAUUGCACAAUGGGGGAAACCCUGAUGCAGCGACGCCGCGUGAAGGAAGAAGGUUUUCGGAUCGUAAACUUCUAUCAGCAGGGAAGAAGGAAGUGACAGUACCUGACUAAGAAGCCCCGGCUAACUACGUGCCAGCAGCCGCGGUAAUACGUAGGGGGCAAGCGUUAUCCGGAAUCACUGGGGGUAAAGGGUGCGUAGGCGGUAGGGCAAGUCAGAUGUGAAAGCCCGGGGCUCAACCCCGGGAUUGCAUUUGAAACUGUCUUACUAGAGUGCAGGAGUGGAAAACGGAAGUGCUAGGGGAGGGGUGAAAUGCGAAGAUAUUGGGAAGAACGCCAGGGGCGAAGGCCGAUUUCCGGACUGUAACGGAAGAUGAGGCACGAGAGCGUAGGGAGCGAACAGGAUUAGAAACCCAAUUAGUC